RNAcentral lists this signal recognition particle RNA (297 nucleotides) under Phascolarctos cinereus (koala). RNAcentral describes it as "Metazoan signal recognition particle RNA (ENSPCIG00000011939.2)". It matches the Rfam family "Metazoan signal recognition particle RNA". From Rfam's summary of the family: The signal recognition particle (SRP) is a universally conserved ribonucleoprotein. It is involved in the co-translational targeting of proteins to membranes. The eukaryotic SRP consists of a 300-nucleotide 7S RNA and six proteins: SRPs 72, 68, 54, 19, 14, and 9. The record is from RNAcentral. Lineage: Eukaryota; Metazoa; Chordata; Mammalia; Diprotodontia; Phascolarctidae.
GCUGGGAGUGAGACUGCUUGCCUAUAAUCCCUUGCUACUGAGGAGACUGAGGCUAGUGAAUCACUUGAGUUCAGGAGUUCUGUGUUGUAGUAGGGCAAAAAUCUAUUGGCUUUAAUUUGGCCCCAGUAUGUGGAGCUCCAGGAGGGGGAAUCAUAAGGCUGCCUAAGGAGGUGUGGAAUGGCUCAGGUCUGAAAUGAAGCAGGUAGAAACUUCCAUGCUGAUCAGCAGUGGGAUCAAGUCCAUUCAUAAGUGGCUACUGUACAUCUAGCCUAGGUGAGGUAGGGAGACCCAGUCACA